GGUAAAAAUUUAUAUUAUAUAAUUUUUAUCUCCCUAGCUUCGCUAGUUCGCUACCGACACCAAUCCAGGUGCGUUGCUUCAAGUUGGCUACCCAUCCCAGGGGCGCUGUUGCGCUUGCUCACCAUUAGAUUACCUGGAAACCAGCCACUCAGGUUGGAGUUUCCCCAGGCUCUUUUGCGUGGGCAUUGGCCGCUUGUGGCUUUUGCACAAAAUUUCAGCUACUUUCAGUUCCUCUGGCCGUUUACCUCCUCUAUAGACAGCACUGACCA
This is a regulatory RNA element of 269 nucleotides. It matches the Rfam family "Deltacoronavirus 5'UTR". The record is from Rfam.